Molecule: long non-coding RNA, 244 nt
Organism: Sphaeramia orbicularis (orbiculate cardinalfish)
Lineage: Eukaryota; Metazoa; Chordata; Actinopteri; Kurtiformes; Apogonidae
Exons: 3
Source: RefSeq, a predicted model, not a curated record
UAAAAUGUUAAUAAUAUACACUAUAUUGCCAAAAGUAUUGGCUCACCCAUCCAAAUAAUCAGAAUCAGAUGUCCCAAUCACUUCUAUGGCCACAGGUGUACAAAAUCAAGCACCUAGAGAUGCAGACUGCUUUUACAAACAUUUGUGAAAGAAUGGGUCGCUCUCAGAAGCUCAAUGAAUUCCAGCGUGGAACUGUGAUAGGAUGCCACCUGUGCAACAAAUCCAGUGGUGAAAUUUCCUCACU